This 529-nucleotide ribosomal RNA is filed under the name Lactobacillus iners. Its description in RNAcentral is "bacterial SSU rRNA". It matches the Rfam family "Bacterial small subunit ribosomal RNA", at positions 465 to 992 of the family's 1533-position model. Lineage: Bacteria; Bacillati; Bacillota; Bacilli; Lactobacillales; Lactobacillaceae. The record is from RNAcentral.
UUGUUUGACGGUAAUCAAUUAGAAAGUCACGGCUAACUACGUGCCAGCAGCCGCGGUAAAACGUAGGUGGCAAGCGUAGUCCGGAUUUAUUGGGCGUAAAGCGAGUGCAGGCGGCUCGAUAAGUCUGAUGUGAAAGCCUUCGGCUCAACCGGAGAAUUGCAUCAGAAACUGUCGAGCUUGAGUACAGAAGAGGAGAGUGGAACUCCAUGUGUAGCGGUGAAAUGCGUAGAUAUAUGGAAGAACACCGGUGGCGAAGGCGGCUCUCUGGUCUGUUACUGACGCUGAGGCUCGAAAGCAUGGGUAGCGAACAGGAUUAGAUACCCUGGUAGUCCAUGCCGUAAACGAUGAGUGCUAAGUGUUGGGAGGUUUCCGCCUCUCAGUGCUGCAGCUAACGCAUUAAGCACUCCGCCUGGGGAGUACGACCGCAAGGUUGAAACUCAAAGGAAUUGACGGGGGCCCGCACAAGCGGUGGAGCAUGUUGUUUAAUUCGUAGCAACGCGAAGAAUCUUACCAGGUCUUGACAUCCAUA